RNAcentral lists this ribosomal RNA (1645 nucleotides) under Escherichia coli. RNAcentral's name for it is "partial 23S ribosomal RNA". It matches the Rfam family "Bacterial large subunit ribosomal RNA", at positions 346 to 1978 of the family's 2925-position model. Lineage: Bacteria; Pseudomonadati; Pseudomonadota; Gammaproteobacteria; Enterobacterales; Enterobacteriaceae. The record is from RNAcentral.
AAAGGCGCGCGAUACAGGGUGACAGCCCCGUACACAAAAAUGCACAUACUGUGAGCUCGAAGAGUAGGGCGGGACACGUGGUAUCCUGUCUGAAUAUGGGGGGACCAUCCUCCAAGGCUAAAUACUCCUGACUGACCGAUAGUGAACCAGUACCGUGAGGGAAAGGCGAAAAGAACCCCGGCGAGGGGAGUGAAAAAGAACCUGAAACCGUGUACGUACAAGCAGUGGGAGCCUCUUUUAUGGGGUGACUGCGUACCUUUUGUAUAAUGGGUCAGCGACUUAUAUUCUGUAGCAAGGUUAACCGAAUAGGGGAGCCGAAGGGAAACCGAGUCUUAACUGGGCGUUAAGUUGCAGGGUAUAGACCCGAAACCCGGUGAUCUAGCCAUGGGCAGGUUGAAGGUUGGGUAACACUAACUGGAGGACCGAACCGACUAAUGUUGAAAAAUUAGCGGAUGACUUGUGGCUGGGGGUGAAAGGCCAAUCAAACCGGGAGAUAGCUGGUUCUCCCCGAAAGCUAUUUAGGUAGCGCCUCGUGAAUUCAUCUCCGGGGGUAGAGCACUGUUUCGGCAAGGGGGUCAUCCCGACUUACCAACCCGAUGCAAACUGCGAAUACCGGAGAAUGUUAUCACGGGAGACACACGGCGGGUGCUAACGUCCGUCGUGAAGAGGGAAACAACCCAGACCGCCAGCUAAGGUCCCAAAGUCAUGGUUAAGUGGGAAACGAUGUGGGAAGGCCCAGACAGCCAGGAUGUUGGCUUAGAAGCAGCCAUCAUUUAAAGAAAGCGUAAUAGCUCACUGGUCGAGUCGGCCUGCGCGGAAGAUGUAACGGGGCUAAACCAUGCACCGAAGCUGCGGCAGCGACACUAUGUGUUGUUGGGUAGGGGAGCGUUCUGUAAGCCUGUGAAGGUGUGCUGUGAGGCAUGCUGGAGGUAUCAGAAGUGCGAAUGCUGACAUAAGUAACGAUAAAGCGGGUGAAAAGCCCGCUCGCCGGAAGACCAAGGGUUCCUGUCCAACGUUAAUCGGGGCAGGGUGAGUCGACCCCUAAGGCGAGGCCGAAAGGCGUAGUCGAUGGGAAACAGGUUAAUAUUCCUGUACUUGGUGUUACUGCGAAGGGGGGACGGAGAAGGCUAUGUUGGCCGGGCGACGGUUGUCCCGGUUUAAGCGUGUAGGCUGGUUUUCCAGGCAAAUCCGGAAAAUCAAGGCUGAGGCGUGAUGACGAGGCACUACGGUGCUGAAGCGACAAAUGCCCUGCUUCCAGGAAAAGCCUCUAAGCAUCAGGUAACAUCAAAUCGUACCCCAAACCGACACAGGUGGUCAGGUAGAGAAUACCAAGGCGCUUGAGAGAACUCGGGUGAAGGAACUAGGCAAAAUGGUGCCGUAACUUCGGGAGAAGGCACGCUGAUAUGUAGGUGAAGCGACUUGCUCGUGGAGCUGAAAUCAGUCGAAGAUACCAGCUGGCUGCAACUGUUUAUUAAAAACACAGCACUGUGCAAACACGAAAGUGGACGUAUACGGUGUGACGCCUGCCCGGUGCCGGAAGGUUAAUUGAUGGGGUUAGCGGUAACGCGAAGCUCUUGAUCGAAGCCCCGGUAAACGGCGGCCGUAACUAUAACGGUCCUAAGGUAGCGAAAUUCCUUGUCGGGUA